This is a long non-coding RNA of Peromyscus leucopus (white-footed mouse), 2261 nucleotides long. RefSeq lists it as uncharacterized. NCBI's taxonomy places the organism in Eukaryota, Metazoa, Chordata, Mammalia, Rodentia, Cricetidae. The transcript is spliced from 2 exons. The record is from RefSeq and is a predicted model, not a curated record.
ACGUGUUCCAACUGCCCUUCACCGGCGCUGGGCUCCCCGCUGUGGCCCCAUCUUAUCUCAGACCUCCUGGGCACCUCAGCUGAGCCCUGCUUUUCUUCUGCUUUUACCGGCCUUGGCUUCACAUCACCCAAAGAGGCUCAGUGCCCAGCCCUGAGCGGGGAGGGGUGUGUGUGUGUGUCCUCUCCUCCCCAGCUGCUCAGAAGUGAGCGGCUCUCAGAUGUUUGCCACCUGGGGACCACCCAGAAGUGUAAAUCUUGCUCCCUCGGGGACAAAUAGACCUCACCCUGUUACCCACUUACAGUCAGUUAUAUUUUGAAGCUGAUGAUACAUUAGCCACUCGCAUCAUCUUGCCUCCAGGAGACCGAGCUGAAGACCCUGGGAAACUCGGGGAGACGAUAAGCUCACCCAAGUCCGCGGGAUGAAAGAAAGACCCGUAGCACUGUGUAGGUCUCCAGAGCGCCCUCGGAAGGGUAUUUGCUUUCCCGGUGAAUCAAUCCUAGGUCUCUAAGGCGAACUUAAAAUUCAAGUCAGUGAAGAUGGCUUGCAUAAAGCGGCCAGUUGCCUUAUGUGAGUUCUUUGGUCCCAUUGCCUUGCCCUGCUGGAGGUGCUGUGCCCCUUUCAAGCAGUGACUCCUGUGAGGAGGGCGCCAGGAGAGUCUCUGGCUCAGCCUCAGUUUUCUGCUUCCAGAGAGGGUGACAAAAUCCUUCGCUUGACGUAGACCAGCUGCCAGCUUUCUGCUUAACCCGGAGGGACGCUUUCCCACGCUGGGACCGGAGUCAUCGUUGCAUGAGUUGCCAAUGCUACAGCGAUUCCACUGUUGUGGGUAGAGCUGAUCUUCCCUCGCACAUUGUUGGGGCCCUUGUUGACUUCCGUCAUAAUGCCCAUCAAGGACCCGAGUGGGGGGACGGCUGAGAGCAAACCGCUCAGUAGUGUCCUAGAAGACCAAAAGCUAUGUCAGACGGCCGUGGCAGGCUCUGCCGGUUCUGUCUCCCCUAGACCUUGGCUACUGGAAUGCUUUCAGUCACUGACUUGGCUGACCUGUCCUCGGUCUUGUCUGCCCCUUGACCCAGAGAAGGAAAGCACAGUGAAGUGCGCUUUUUCUCCCCGUUUUUUUUUUUUUUUUUUUUUUUUUUGUUUGUUUUUUGUUUUAACUCGAGCUGACCUUGGAUUAGAUUUUUAAGUCAACUUUUGCUGGUCUUCUCAGUAAUACGAAUGGAAAAAUCUUGAAGCUUCUGAACUCCUGUUGCUCAGUUAAAGCUGCAAUGUCUCCUGCUAUUGACCCCCUCAUGCUUCCAGCACCCCAAUGCUUUCCAGAUAGCCUGCUUCUUGCGCAGCGGAGUCACCUGCACCCGUGUAUGUGAAUUCUUCCCUCCUUUUCAUACUGAACCACACUCUAGACACUUUUCCCCCCCCCAAUGACUUGGCCCACCAGAACACCAUUACCACUGCAGUCACAGCCGCUACUGGAGCCAGCCAGCGUGUGCGCAAGGCCCGUUUCCCAGCCUGCUUUGGGACUGUGGUUUCACUGACUUCUGUCCCCAGAUUUUGCUCUUGAAGCCUGGCCUCGGCUCCAAAGAGACACUUUUCUUGGGAAGGCCCCUCUGACCCUUUUGGAAGUGUCAGUACUGUGUAGAGGAGAUGAGCUCUGAGUGACUUUUGUCCCUGGCCAUGGUCGCGUCUCAGUGAAAAUACCUGGUCAACGAGCUACGGUAUCUCCUCCAGUGUCUGAAGAGACGGCACCACGGCAAAGUCACCUGUGUUAACAGGUGCCCCCCGAACCUUUGGUGAGACGACCCCAGCUCUGGCAUACACAGGUUUGGCCAGUGCUUAUAUCUUUGUUGAAGUCAGAUGUGUAGGCACACCACCCCAUCUCUGUUUCCUGCUGCAAGAUCUCUGCAAAAUUAAGACGUGGAAGCUCAUUUUAAGAACCAGAGUGACUGUUCUCCCCACAAAAUCUUGCUCCAUCGGGAAGAGGAUCAGUUUUAUGUCCUUAAGAAACUCCACUUUCUGACUUCCCUUCUGAACUUUAGAAGUAAGGGAUUUGAAACUAGAUGGACACAAGGCUGGAGGAUGCAGAGUCAGGACAAUGUGGUCUUGCUCUUUUUUUUUUUUUUUUUAAAAAAUCUCCGUUCCAAUUUCUCCAAUAUCUCUGCAGGUGGCAUUGCACCAGCUGUGUGCUGGAAACGGUGCUUGAUAUUUCUCCCUUAAAAUGUUUUAACAUCUCUUUUUGUGUGUGACUUAUGAAAAACAAGUUGGACUUA